This 65-nucleotide transfer RNA is filed under the name Hamadryas epinome. RNAcentral describes it as "tRNA-Thr". It matches the Rfam family "tRNA". From Rfam's summary of the family: Transfer RNA (tRNA) molecules are approximately 80 nucleotides in length. Their secondary structure includes four short double-helical elements and three loops (D, anti-codon, and T loops). The record is from RNAcentral. Lineage: Eukaryota; Metazoa; Arthropoda; Insecta; Lepidoptera; Nymphalidae.
GUUUUUAUAGUUUAAAUAAAAACUUUGGUCUUGUAAACCAAAAAUAAGAAUAUUCUUUAAAAACU